Delphinapterus leucas (beluga whale) is the source of this 179-nucleotide non-coding RNA. The record is from RefSeq and is a predicted model, not a curated record. NCBI's taxonomy places the organism in Eukaryota, Metazoa, Chordata, Mammalia, Artiodactyla, Monodontidae.
UGGACUUGCCAAGCCUCCAUAAUCACAGAAACCAAUUCCUUAAAAGUUGCAGUAAAAGAGGAACCCAAGUGCAUAACAAGAUCAAAGAAAUCAUUCCCUACAUCCCAGUAGUGAUGAACAGACAUGUGACAAGAGGCCAUGUGAGGACACAGCAAGAUGGAGACCAUCAACAAGCCAGG